This 6014-nucleotide long non-coding RNA is filed under the name Homo sapiens (human). RNAcentral describes it as "HSALNT0341836". The record is from RNAcentral. Lineage: Eukaryota; Metazoa; Chordata; Mammalia; Primates; Hominidae.
UGGAAACCAUCAUUCUCAGCAAACUAUUGCAAGGACAAAAAAAAUUAGUAUUUGUGUCUUUUCCCCAUUGUUGUAGUUAUAAGCUGGUGUAAUUUAGAAUGGGCUUUACUUGCAGUAGUUGUCUAACAAACCAUUGCUAAAUGUUAUUAAAUAUCUGCCACCAUUUUCCCAAUAUAUUUUUUUCUUCCAAAUAAACUCAACUUUAUGGAGAAUCUCUGACUUACUGUGAUGUUCCUUCUGUCUAGAAUGACCUUUACCACUUGUCUGCUCAGCUAAUCCAUUCAAGGGCUUCUUCUCUAAGGAACCGUUCUAAUGCCUGACUUCAGAAUGACUUGUGUGCCCAUUCUCUGAGCCUCUUUCAUUCCCUCAUGUGUUUCUCUCAUGGUACUAAUGAAAAUAUAUGGUGAUUUCUAGAUUAUUCACUAAGUUCUCCACUGGAGUGAGAACUCUCGUUAAUCUCUGAAUUCUCAAUGCCUCACAGAGUAUAGAGGUGCUCUAUAAUAUUUGUUAAAUGGAUUGAUGAGGGAAUUGAUAUUUUGCUGCUCUACCAUGUAACCUUUUCUAAUUAUAAUGAUGGGUUUGUGUGUGUGUGUGUGUGCGCACGUGUGCACAUGCACACACGACGGGGAAGCUGACCACCAGCAGGCAAUAUGAAGCCACUCUGAAAUAUGACUGAUAAACAAUUUUAUUGUGCAAUGUGGAUCUUUAACUAGUCAUAUUCAUUUUUUUAUUAAAACGAGAUGACACAUAAGACAAGGAAUUGAUUUAGACCUUCAGGAAUCAACUCACACCACUUGCUCCCUUAUUCUUGCUUUAGGAAUGUUUAAAACUUUAUUUUUUUUCACAAUCAAUAGCCAAUUGUGGAAUGAUGCUACAGUAGGCAUCCAAGCCAUACUCAUUCACAGAUGGGAAUUUUUAGUUCAAUACUAAUUUAUUUGGAAGUUUUAUUUCUCAUGAUAUUUUCUAACAAGGCAUAGAGCCUUCUUUUUAGGAUCCCAGGUGCCAUGCUUUAUUUCAAUGAUGAGUGUGUGUGUGUAUCCAAAUUUUGCUUUUGUGUAAGAAUACCAGUCAUACUGAAUUAGGAACCUACCCUACUUCAGUAUGACCUCAUCCUAACCUAAGUACAUAAGCAAUGACACCAUUUUUCAAUCAAGUCACAUUCUAAGGUACUGGGGGUUGGAACUUCCAAUAUUAUGUUGAAUAUAAACUUUCAGUCUUUUAGCACUGAGUAUGACAUUAGCUGUAUAUUUUUAGUAUACGGCUUUUUAUUACACUGACAUAGUUUUCUUCUAUUUCUGUGUGUUGAUUUAUCACAUGUUGUGCAUUGCUUAUCAUGAAAGGUGCUGUGAUCAUGGGAGCAAAAGAAUAUGAGCUAUGAGAAAGAUCUCAGGCAGUUUACUCUAUUCUUUUCCUGUUGUGAAAAAAGAGAAUGUGAACUGGAAAAUAUCAGUCACUUGUGAGCCCCCACAUCAGUUCCUUAUUUACUAUUUCUACUCAGGAUAUACAUGAUGUAUCAAUUUCAAACAGAGCUUUGUGCCUUCUAUGCUGACACAAUGCCAAAUAUUUUUUUUUCAACACAAGACAAAAGGACUGUGGACAUGUAGAAUCUGGUAGAAACAAGUUUCCCACUAAAGUGAUUUUUUAGUGCUAUGAGAAUUAUUUUCAGAAGUUUUACAGUUAUUGGCUUCUGAAUUUGUGCUAAUACAUUAAAGGGAACAAUAAUAAAUAGUUUUAUGAGGAUCUAUACUUAGCUACAAAAAUUCCAGAUGACAAAGAGGCAUCAAAUGCCCACUUCCAAGAAGAAUGUUAUUUACAGAGCUGAACUAUAUACAUUUAAAAAAUAAACCAUUGCUACUGCCCUGUAAUCAGGAGACUUGAUAAUAACCUUCAUGUUUAUUCUCUGCUGUUCACCUAUCUUUUUGGGGCUGUUUUCUAAGAAUAAGUCUACACCUUUAAUUGCUUUGUCACACAUGCAGUGCUGAAUGUUUUGUUUAGUUCUUUUAAUUAAAUGCUUAUAUAUGUGCCUGGAAGAGAACCAUUGAGUUGCUGCACUUUGAACCAUCUGUUACCUCAUAGCACAGGUUAUUACAUAAAAACAAGUUCUAGAAUUUGUGAUGUUUAGAGACCUCAGUGUCCCUCCUAUUCAGCUUGUUCAAGUUACAUUAUUAGCUGUACAAAAUCCCAGAUUGGCUUGUAUUUUAAACUGGAACUGGAGGUGGUAUAUAGUUGACAAAACUGCCUGAGAAAUUCAAGCUGUUCACAUCAUAUGAGUUAUCUGCCCAUAAAGGAGUCCAAUCAUAUUGUUAUUGCUAAAAGGAUUAGUAACUUUUUUUGUUUUGUUUUGUUUUGGCCACAUUACCUGUAGCACAUCUGGGAACAAUUUGCAUGAAAACAAUUGAUGCCCAUGUCCCAAGACCAGGAAUUAAUGUUGAUUUUAGAAAUCGUAUAAUGAAGUAUAGCAAAUACCAGUGUACGCAGUAUAAUAUGAAGAGGUCAACAACUCUUACAUGCCAUGGGCCCCAAAAACACUUGAGUCAAAGAUCCAUAUUGGUUAUCACCAUUCAACAGCAUGGCUCAGUACCAGUGAUUUCACAUGGACAUUCCAAACAAAGGACUCCCUAAUCAUAGUGGAAACCUUCAAAAAUUGCUCAAAGUCACCCUGCUUUCCAUCCCAAGUCUCUCUGAAAAUCAUUGCACUCAUCUCCUGUAGUUUGUAACCAGGAUUGUCACACACUUUUAUUUUCUUCAUUUGAAACUGAAGGACUUCUUAAAUAGUAAGGUUAUUCAUUUUGGCAUUUUCAUAACUCAUCAUUUAGGUUGAAGUGAUAUGCAGACCACAAAGGAUUCCUCGAAUCCUAUCAUUUCAGGAGACUGGUAUUAAAAGACAUGUCAUAUUUCUCACCAUCACGAUGCUAUUCCACAUUCAGAUAUCUAGCUUGUUCCCUUACUAACAAGGAACUAUCUCAGGAAUAACUUUCUUUCCAUCCAGAUUUAGCAGGUACUUACAAGACAAACAAGAAGGUAUUUUGCCCACUGAAUUAGUCUGCAUCUGCUCUUUGCUUCCCUUUUCCCCCAUGCAUUAGUUUUCAGGAGAAAUCACAGAAGUGAAGUGGUUCAUGUUCCAGUUCCUAACAACAGGAUCAAAAAGUCUGUGUCAUAUCUGGUGUCAAGAGUGUUUGUGUUUGCCAGCAACACCUGCGAAAGCAUGACUUCCAGGGUGACUUGACAUCAAAAGACCUGUUAGAAACACAUCGUUUAGUACCUCAGAUAUUGAUUUUUGACAAUGUCUCUUGAAGUUUUAACAGAGCCACAAGUUGAGCUAAUCUAUAUUUUUCUGUGGUCCCUGAAGUCACUUGUAUAACAAUAAUAUGAGAAAUAUGGCCUUAUCAAUAACAAAAGGCAUGCCAAUCUUUGUCAGUUGUUAACCAAAGGACAAAAGCUGUUGGGUAUGCUUGGGGAUAGCUGAGGGCUAUAGCCUAAUAUUUCCUUAAAUGAUUAUCAUUUACUUUUGAGGUCUUGGGGCAAUAAUUUAGGGCAAAGGUAUAUUCACCAUAUUGUAGCAAACAGAAUUGUGUUAUUCAUUGUUUUCUUGUUAACUACUCUUUACUUCAACAGAGCUGUCAGACACAAAAGAAGCAAAUGGUAUUGAAGCAAAAGAAGCAAACAGUGCACAGGGUUGGAAUCAGGCCAGCAUUGGAAUCUCAGCUCCUCUCACUAGCUGUGUGACCUUCGGCUAGUUAUUUUAACUCCUUAAGCUGCAAUUUCUUUAUCUGUCAAAAGAAAAGGAUAGUAAUCCAUGGUUUAUGAAGUCAUGUAAAGAUUAAAUGAAAACAUAUGAAGCACUUAACUCACUGAUGGGCAUGUAGUAAAUGCUCAAGAAGCAAUAGAGAGGGUGAUAAUAGCUAAUUUGUCAUCACUCAUUCAGCAAACUUUGACUGAUGUCGAUUAUACAAGGCACUAUUCUAAAAUCUAGUUUUGUUUUUUUUUUCCUGGAUGAGCAAUGUACCCCUACAGUCCUCCAGGAAGUCGUAAUUUGAUGGGAGACAAAGAAACAUAGCCAAGGAUACAAUUUUAAGGUCACCUUGAAUCCUUCCUGGAAAAAAGCAGGUCAUAAAUAAUAAUGGUUGUUGGAGAAAGGUCUCUAGGAAAGAUGAAGAACUUUUAAAUUCCUAGAAGCAUCUUAGAAAAGAUAACACAAAAACUUUAUUUAAUGUAAAAAUAAGAGCUGAGAGUCAGUUAAAUAAACAUUGUUAACAGUUGAAAUUUUCUGGAUUAUCUGCAUUUAUUGUUACUUUCCUUUACUUUUUAAUUUAAUUUUAGAUCAAGGAGUUACAUGUACAUAUAUGUUAUGUGGGUAUAUUGUCUGAUGUUACAUUCCUUUAAAUCUUGUAUAAAUAAUCUUUCUUAAAACUACUUUGUAAACUUAGGUAAUAUAGACUUAAUGCACAUGUAUAUUUUUAUUUAGAUGGAAUUUACUUUUUUAUUGAGAAAUUCAGAACAAAUUUUAGAUCAUUUGUUCAACCACAUCUGUUUUCCUUAUUGGAAAAGCUUAAUUGCCUGGUUUGCAUUCUAUGAGGCCUCAUUUGUGAACCUUAUGGUAUCUACCGAAAUUGGAGGCACUGUGCCUGGGAAAAAAACUACUAGUCCUUUGUGUAAACACACUGACAAUUCAACCCUAUUAAGUGAUGGCAAAUCUGUCAAGAUGCUUUGCCAUUCUGACCACUUGGCAAGGAAAUCUGGUCUAUGUUUAAAAUAUAAUUUUUGAAGGUGUUGCUUCUAUUGAAUUCUCCCCUGUAUUGCAGUUCGCUUUAUUGGAAUGUGAAGCCAAAGUGUUGGCAAGAAUCAAAACUUUGUUACUAGUAACAAAGGGAUUUCCACAAUAUACCAGGUGGUGUUGUCAAAAAUAGUCACACUACACUUUUAGUGUUCAAAGUCCCACUGAUAAACCUCCUGGAGGAUCGUUUGUUUGGAGUUUAACUGCAGGUGUUUUUGGAACACUAUUCUUAAAUUCCCAAAGUCUGCUAAUUAGAAAGGUAAUCUGUGAAUUUUCAACUGCAUUUUCCAUAGAUCAGUAGAAGCACCUCUACUACAUUAAAUCCAUGGACCUUCAUUAUUAUAAACUGCUAACCGCUGCUCUUUCCAUAUUGAAAUACUGAAAUUGUACAUAUCAAUCCAUGAAAAAGGCACAUAUUUAAUGGUAAUUUGGAAAGAGAACUUUGUGUCAUUAAGGCAAAAUAUCAUAGGUUUAAUCAGAAGUGUCAGCAGUCCUAUUUCAAUUCAUUUACCUAUUAAUCUAUAAUCAUAGCAUAAAACACUGCUGCUAUCUUAGGAAUGUCUGUAUUCUUUGCUUUUUAUCGCGUGACCUCCAUCAUAGACACCUGACCUGCAGUGUAAGCCUGGACCAUCCUAUUGCCUUGUGAACAGUGGUCCUGACGGCAACUUCUUAUCUUUCGGUAGAGUAGUUUCCAAAUAAAUACAUGACAGAAGGGGAAUUAAUUAAGAAACAAAUUAACCCCAAUGCAAAGGAAAAAAAUAGUAGCAUAUCAGAUAAUUACUUCUGAUGAGAAAUUUCUACAAUGAAGCAAUGCUAACAAAAGCAUUUUUAAUUGCUGUUGCUGGUGCCUCCCUCCCUGUGAUGAAGUCCUUGAAUGGCAUUGCCCUUUCUUGGAGGAGUUGAAGCAGGAGCAAUGGAAGGAGGUUUCAAAACAAUCAGUGUUGUGAGAUUGCUUUAGAAUGAAAAGUCUGGGAAGGAAAUAAAUGAAAAGAUUCUGUCUGAGAUAACUUUUGAGUCAGAUUUUUCUGCAGCUUAGACUAUGUGAGGGGGUGGUUGGUGUGGGAGGCAAGCUAUCUGGAUUCUCAUGUUGAUUCUGCUACUUGUAAAGUGAUAAAAACUUGAACUUGGAACUUGACCUCUGUGAGUCUCAAUUCCUCUUGAAACUGUUCCUUUUGGGCUGGAGAUGUUGAAAGUAAAAUAAAUAAAUAAAUAAAUAAAUAAAAGGUAAUGGAUAAUAAUA